CUUUAGCCCCGAUAGGAGUGGAAAUCCUUUUUGGGCUGGUGUUCAGCGCAAAAAGAUUACUUCGUCAGUUCGCUAUCGCUCGGGUGCAGCGGAUAGCGGGACGAUAU
RNAcentral lists this unclassified non-coding RNA (107 nucleotides) under Flavobacterium succinicans. RNAcentral describes it as "Flavo-1 RNA". Lineage: Bacteria; Pseudomonadati; Bacteroidota; Flavobacteriia; Flavobacteriales; Flavobacteriaceae. The record is from RNAcentral.